AGAGUUUGAUCCUGGCUCAGAACGAACGCUGGCGGCAGGCUUAACACAUGCAAGUCGAGCGCCCCGCAAGGGGAGCGGCAGACGGGUGAGUAACGCGUGGGAAUCUACCCAUCUCUACGGAAUAACGCAUGGAAACGUGUGCUAAUACCGUAUACGUCCUUCGGGAGAAAGAUUUAUCGGAGAUGGAUGAGCCCGCGUUGGAUUAGCUAGUUGGUGGGGUAAAGGCCUACCAAGGCGACGAUCCAUAGCUGGUCUGAGAGGAUGAUCAGCCACACUGGGACUGAGACACGGCCCAGACUCCUACGGGAGGCAGCAGUGGGGAAUAUUGGACAAUGGGCGCAAGCCUGAUCCAGCCAUGCCGUAAGAGUGAUGAAGGCCCUAGGGUUGUAAAGCUCUUUCACCGG
This 404-nucleotide ribosomal RNA is filed under the name uncultured bacterium. RNAcentral describes it as "bacterial SSU rRNA". It matches the Rfam family "Bacterial small subunit ribosomal RNA", at positions 8 to 442 of the family's 1533-position model. The record is from RNAcentral.